Micropterus salmoides (largemouth bass) is the source of this 961-nucleotide long non-coding RNA. RefSeq lists it as uncharacterized. The record is from RefSeq and is a predicted model, not a curated record. Lineage: Eukaryota; Metazoa; Chordata; Actinopteri; Centrarchiformes; Centrarchidae. The transcript has 2 exons.
UCCAUAAAGGGCUCAAAAUGUCCGCGAGAGAGCCCUCGCGCACUUGACGAUUUGACAGUGGGACAGCCCUGAGCCCUCACGGACUUCCCGGGAACGCGCAAAGUCUGAAGGUGGACAUUGGGAUUGGGACAAACCCUCAGCGUGAACGCGCAAACGGAGGCGAAGUAGGGGAGGGAGGAAAAGACCGGAAAUCCGACUUCAGGAGGCGUUCAAGUUGAAAGUUCCGACUGGGAACUAGGAACGCAUUAUCAGCCUGAAGAGCUCCGAGACCAGAAUCCAGACUCAGUCCAGGACAACACGGUCCACCAGUCACAGACCUGCAGGACGAUGGAGAACCAGAACCCGGACCACAGGAGCCAAACAGCAGCCUCGUGCUCUGAUAGCACCGAUGUUCAGGCCCCCCUACAGCAACACAACUCAGCUCUUCAUGAGUUCGUAGAAUAGUGUGAUAAUUCCUGCCUGGAAUUUAAUGUGAACAAGACUAAGAAGAUGACCUUUUCCAACAAGCAGAAGAAACUGGCUGUCGCAGGCAUCACCACCAUCCAUGGGAAACCUGUAGACAUUGUUGACGAGUAUAAGUACCUGGACACAAAACAAAUCACCUUCUGGCAACGCGGUACAACCCCAUUACUUGGAUUAAUUAAAGUAUUAUUAUUAUUACUGUCUUGGAAAUGGUACUCCCUUACAUUACUAGUUACUAGGAUAAAUUAAUAAUACAGUAAUGCGUUACUGCCAACACCAUUGCCUAACUGUUGCUUAAAUUGUAGAUGUUAUGCAGCAGAUCCGUCACUGCUCAGCCAACACCCAGAUGUUCACAAUGUCUUCUCACUACACCUCCGGAUUAUACACCGGUCACUGAUUACUCUUCUUGUCCCCAGCGACCACUUCACCUCCCGUUUGUACCACCAGCAUCCCCUGCAGUCUAAAUAAAUCAUGAUGGUCUGUAGGGCUGAACGAUUAA